GAUUAUUUAGUUUAAGCAAAAACAAAUGUUUUGAAAACAUUAAAAAAGAAGAUUUCUUAAUAAUUA
Molecule: transfer RNA, 66 nt
Filed under: Huananpotamon koatenense
Lineage: Eukaryota; Metazoa; Arthropoda; Malacostraca; Decapoda; Potamidae
Description: tRNA-Ser
Source: RNAcentral